Non-coding RNA from Paramuricea clavata, 176 nucleotides. NCBI's taxonomy places the organism in Eukaryota, Metazoa, Cnidaria, Anthozoa, Malacalcyonacea, Plexauridae. The record is from the annotation of a GenBank genome assembly.
UAGUAUACAAUUAAUGAAUGUUUAUGAGUGCAAUGAUAACUAUAUUUUCAUGAGGUGAAAGAUGGAUUGUUCUAUUGAACAAGGCGACAGCCGAGUUGAAUGGAACAUUCCAUCUUUCACCGAAUGAAAAUAUUCUUGCCAUUGCAUGAAUAAAAACAUUCAUUAUUUGUUUUAUA